UCAACCAUCCUAGUAGUACUCUCGCCCAAUCACGCUUAACUGCAGAGUUCUGAUGGGAUCCGGUGCAUUAGUGCUGGUAUGAUCGCAUCUGUUACUACAUGCAAUGCAAUCGUAUCUGUUACUACAUGCAAUGCAAUCGUAUCUGUUACUACAUGCAAUGCAAUCGUAUCUAUUCUUUUUUGAAGACUUUAUGAUCCAUUUGCCGUGGGUCCCACCAGCUAUGUAGGAAUACCCUAUCUUGUUUAUAAGAGCUUUGAUACAUGCAAAAUAUUCGAAUACAAUGUCUAAACGUAUAAGUUUCGCCCCGUAAUAUAGCGAAGAUCACGAAAAGGCCCGAAAAAGUACAUUAAGGUCAAAAUUUGGAGUAGAAAUAAAAACCAAUAGAAGAAUUCCAAUUUCCUUCCUCAUUCAUUGGAGAGCUCUCUUUGGGCUUUCCGAAAAGGUAUCACAUGCGAAGUUUGGCCUCACAAUCUAAAAGUUAUAUAGUCAUACAUUUUUAACAAAACAAAUAGAGAAAAACCGAAAAAAAGAAUGAUACAACACAAGGACUUUCCGGGAGGUCACCCAUCCUAAUACUAUUCUCGCCCAAGCAAGCUUAACUGCAGAGUAUUGAUGGGAUCUGAUGCAUAAGGGCUGAUAUGAUCGCAUCCGUUACUACAAGCAAUGCAAUCGUAUCUAUUCGUUUUUGAAGACUUUAUGAUCCAUUUGCCGUGGGUCCCACCAGCUAUGUAGGAAUACCCUAUCUUGUUUAUAAGAGCUUUGAUACAUGCAAAAAAUUGGAAAACAAUGUCUGAACAUAUAAUUUUUGUCCCGUAAUAUAGCAAAGAUCACGAAAAGGAUAGAAAAAGUACAUUAAGGUCAAAAUUUUGAGUAGAAAAAAAAUCAAUAGAAGGAUUCCAAUUUCCUUCCUCAUUCAUAUAGCUCUCUUUGGGCUUUCCGAAAAGGUAUCACAUGCAAAGUUUGGCCCCGCGGUCUAAAAGUUAUAGAGGUAUACAUUUUUACCAAAAAAAAGAGGGAUUCAACACGAGGACUUUUUUNNNNNNNNNNNNNNNNNNNNNNNNNNNNNNNNNNNNNNNNNNNNNNNNNNUGCUGGUAUGAUCGCAUCAGUUACUACAUGCAAUGCAAUCAUAUAUAUUCUUUUUUGAAGACUUUAUGAUCCAUUUGCCGUAGGUCCCACCAGCUAUGUAGGAAUACCCUAUCUUGUUUAUAAGAGCUUUGAUACAUGCAAAAUAUUCGAAAACAAUGUCCGAACAUAUAAUUUUUGUCCCGUAAUAUAGCAAAGAUCACGAAAAGGCCAGAAAAAAUACAUUUCGGUCAAAAUUUGGAGUAGAAAAAAAGCCCUUCCUCAUUCAUUGGACAGCUCUCUUUGGGCUUUCCGAAAAGGUAUCACAUGCCAAGUUUGGCCUCACGGUCUAAACCUUAUAGACUCAUACAUUUUUCACAAAAAAAAGAAGAGAAAAACCAAAAAAAAGAGUGAUUAAACACGAGGAUUUUCCUGGAGGUCACCCAUCCUAGUACUACUCUCGCCCAAGCACGCUUAACUGCGAAGGUCUGAUGGGAUAUGGUGCAUUAGUGCUGGUAUGAUCGCAUCUGUUACUACAUGCAAUGCAAUCGUAUCUAUUCUUUUUUGAAGAUUUGAUGAUUCAUUUACCGUGGGUCCCACCAGCUAUGUAGGAAUAACCUAUCUUAUUUAUAAAAGCUUUGAUACAUGCAAAAUAUUCGAAAACAAUGUCCGAACAUAUAAUGUUCGCCCCAAAAUAUAGCAAAGACCACAAAAAUGCCAUAAAAAGUACAUUAAGGUCAAAAUUUGGAGUAGGAAAAAAAUCAAUAGGAGAAUUCCAUUUUCCUUCCCUCAUUCAUCAGAGAGCUCUCUUUGGGCAUUCCAAAAAGGUAUCACAUGCCAAGUUUGGCCUCACGGUCUAAAAGUUAUAGAGUAUUACAUUUUUAACAAAAAAAAAAGGGAAAAACCGAAAAAGAGGGAUGCAACACGAAGACUUUUCUGGAGGUCACCCAUUCUAGUACUACUCUCCCCCAAGCACGCUUAACUGUGGUGUUCUAAUAGGAUCAAGUGCAUUAGUGCUGGUAUGAUCGCAUCAGUUACUACAUGCAAUGCAAUCAUAUAUAUUCUUUUUUGAAGACUUUAUGAUCCAUUUGCCGUAGGUCCCACCAGCUAUGUAGGAAUACCCUAUCUUGUUUAUAAGAGCUUUGAUACAUGCAAAAUAUUCGAAAACAAUGUCCGAACAUAUAAUUUUUGUCCCGUAAUAUAGCAAAGAUCACGAAAAGGCCAGAAAAAAUACAUUUCGGUCAAAAUUUGGAGUAGAAAAAAAGCCCUUCCUCAUUCAUUGGACAGCUCUCUUUGGGCUUUCCGAAAAGGUAUCAUAUGCCAAGUUUGGCCUCACGGUCUAAACCUUAUAGACUCAUACAUUUUUCACAAAAAAAAGAAGAGAAAAACCAAAAAAAAGAGUGAUUAAACACGAGGACUUUCCUGGAGGUCAUCCAUCCUAGUACUACUCUCGCCCAAGCACGCUUAAUUGCGAAGUUCUGAUGGGAUCUGGUGCAUUAGUGCUGGUAUGAUCGCAUAUGUUACUACAUGCAAUGCAAUCGUAUCUAUUCUUUUUUGAAGAUUUUAUGAUUCAUUUACCGUGGGUACCACCAGCUAUGUAGGAAUAACCUAUCUUAUUUAUAAGAGCUUUGAUACAUGCAAAAUAUUCGAAAACAAUGUCCGAACAUAUAAUUUUUGUCCCGUAAUAUAGCAAAGAUCACGAAAAGGCCAGAAAAAAUACAUUUCGGUCAAAAUUUGGAGUAGAAAAAAACCCUUCCUCAUUCAUUGGACAGCUCUGUUUGAGCUUUCCGAAAAGGUAUCACAUGCCAAGUUUGGCCUCACGGUCUAAAAGUUAUAGAGUCAUACAUUUUUCACAAAAAAAAGAAGAGAAAAACCAAAAAAAAGAGUGAUGAAACACGAGGACUUUCCUGGAGGUCACCCAUCCUAGUACUACUCUCGCCCAAGCACGCGUAACUGCGAAGUUCUGAUGGGAUCUGGUGCAUUAGUGCUGGUAUGAUCGCAUCUGUUACUACAUGCAAUGCAAUCGUAUCUAUUCUUUUUUGAAGAUUUUAUGAUUCAUUUACCGUGGGUCCCACCAGCUAUGUAGGAAUAACCUAUCUUAUUUAUAAGAGCUUUGAUACAUGCAAAAUAUUGGAAAACAAUGUCCGAACAUAUAAUGUUCGCCCCAAAAUAUAGCAAAGACAACAAAAAUCCCAUAAAAAGUACAUUAAGGUCAAAAUUUGGAGUAGGAAAAAAAUCAAUAAGAGAAUUCCAUUUUCCUUCCCUCAUUCAUCGGAGAGGUCUCUUUGGGCAUUCCAAAAAGGUAUCACAUGCCAAGUUUGGCCUCACGGUCUAAAAGUUAUAGAGUAAUACAUUUUUAACAAAAAAAAAAGAGAAAAACCGAAAAAAAGAGGGAUGCAACACGAAGACUUUUCUGGAGGUCACCCAUCCUAGUACUACUCUCCCAAAGCACGCUUAACUGUGGUGUUCUGAUAGGAUCAAGUGCAUUAGUGCGGGUAUGAUCGCAUCAGUUACUACAUGCAAUGCAAUCAUAUAUAUUCUUUUUUGAAGACUUUAUGAUCCAUUUGCCGUAGGUCCCACCAGCUAUGUAGGAAUACCCUAUCUUGUUUAUAAGAGCUUUGAUACAUGCAAAAUAUUCGAAAACAAUGUCCGAACAUAUAAUUUUUGUCCCGUAAUAUAGCAAAGAUCACGAAAAGGCCAGGAAAAAUACAUUUCGGUCAAAAUUUGGAGUAGAAAAAAAACCCUUCCUCAUUCAUUGGACAGCUCUCUUUGGGCUUUCCGAAAAGGUAUCACAUGCCAAGUUUGGCCUCACGGUCUAAAAGUUAUAGAUUCAUACAUUUUUCACAAAAAAAAGAAGAGAAAAACCAAAAAAAAGAGGGAUGAAACACGAGGACUUUCCCAGAGGUCACCCAUCCUAGUACUACUCUCGCCCAAGCACGCUUAACUGCGAAGUUCUGAUGGGAUCUGGUGCAUUAGUGCUGGUAUGAUCGCAUCUGUUACUACAUGCAAUGCAAUCGUAUCUAUUCUUUUUUGAAGAUUUUAUGAUUCAUUUACCGUGGGUCCCACCAGCUAUGUAGGAAAACCUAUCUUAUUUAUAAGAUCUUUGAUACAUGCAAAAUAUUGGAAAACAAUGUCCGAACAUAUAAUGUUCGCCCCAAAAUAUAGCGAAGACCACAAAAAUGCCAUAAAAAGUACAUUAAGGUCAAAAUUUGGAGUAGGAAAAAAAUCAAUAGGAGAAUUCCAUUUUCCUUCCCUCAUUCAUCGGAGAGCUCUCUUUGGGCAUUCCAAAAAGGUAUCACAUGCCAAGUUUGGCCUCACGGUCUAAAAGUUAUAGAAUAUUACAUUUUUAACAAAAAAAAAGAGAAAAACCAAAAAAAAGAGGGAUGCAACACGAGGACUUUUCUGGAGGUCACCCAUCCUACUACUACUCUCGCCCAAGCACACUUAACUGCGGUGUUCUGAUAGGAUCAAGUGCAUUAGUGCUGGUAUGAUCGCAUCAGUUACUACAUGCAAUGCAAUCAUAUAUAUUCUUUUUUGAAGACUUUAUGAUCCAUUUGCCGUAGGUCCCACCAGCUAUGUAGGAAUACCCUAUCUUGUUUAUAAGAGCUUUGAUACAUGCAAAAUAUUCGAAAACAAUGUCCGAACAUAUAAUUUUUGUCCCGUAAUAUAGCAAAGAUCACGAAAAGGCCAGAAAAAAUACAUUUUGGUCAAAAUUUGGAGUAGAAAAAAAGCCCUUCCUCAUUCAUUGGACAGCUCUCUUUGGGCUUUCCGAAAAGGUAUCACAUGCCAAGUUUGGCCUCACGGUCUAAACCUUAUAGACUCAUACAUUUUUCACAAAAAAAAGAAGAGAAAAACCAAAAAAAAGAGUGAUUAAACACGAGGAUUUUCCUGGAGGUCACCCAUCCUAGUACUACUCUCGCCCAAGCACGCUUAACUGCGAAGGUCUGAUGGGAUAUGGUGCAUUAGUGCUGGUAUGAUCGCAUCUGUUACUACAUGCAAUGCAAUCGUAUCUAUUCUUUUUUGAAGAUUUGAUGAUUCAUUUACCGUGGGUCCCACCAGCUAUGUAGGAAUAACCUAUCUUAUUUAUAAAAGCUUUGAUACAUGCAAAAUAUUCGAAAACAAUGUCCGAACAUAUAAUGUUCGCCCCAAAAUAUAGCAAAGAUCACAAAAAUGCCAUAAAAAGUACAUUAAGGUCAAAAUUUGGAGUAGGAAAAAAAUCAAUAGGAGAAUUCCAUUUUCCUUCCCUCAUUCAUCGGAGAGCUCUCUUUGGGCAUUCCAAAAAGGUAUCACAUGCCAAGUUUGGCCUCACGGUCUAAAAGUUAUAGAGUAUUACAUUUUUAACAAAAAAAAAAGGGAAAAACCGAAAAAGAGGGAUGCAACACGAAGACUUUUCUGGAGGUCACCCAUCCUAGUACUACUCUCCCCCAAGCACGCUUAACUGUGGUGUUCUAAUAGGAUCAUGUGCAUUAGUGCUGGUAUGAUCGCAUCAGUUACUACAUGCAAUGCAAUCAUAUAUAUUCUUUUUUGAAGACUUUAUGAUCCAUUUGCCGUAGGUCCCACCAGCUAUGUAGGAAUACCCUAUCUUGUUUAUAAGAGCUUUGAUACAUGCAAAAUAUUCGAAAACAAUGUCCGAACAUAUAAUUUUUGUCCCGUAAUAUAGCAAAGAUCACGAAAAGGCCAGAAAAAAUACAUUUCGGUCAAAAUUUGGAGUAGAAAAAAAGCCCUUCCUCAUUCAUUGGACAGCUCUCUUUGGGCUUUCCGAAAAGGUAUCAUAUGCCAAGUUUGGCCUCACGGUCUAAACCUUAUAGACUCAUACAUUUUUCACAAAAAAAAGAAGAGAAAAACCAAAAAAAAGAGUGAUUAAACACGAGGACUUUCUUGGAGGUCAUCCAUCCUAGUACUACUCUCGCCCAAGCACGCUUAACUGCGAAGUUCUGAUGGGAUCUGGUGCAUUAGUGCUGGUAUGAUCGCAUCUGUUACUACAUGCAAUGCAAUCGUAUCUAUUCUUUUUUGAAGAUUUUAUGAUUCAUUUACCGUGGGUACCACCAGCUAUGUAGGAAUAACCUAUCUUAUUUAUAAGAGCUUUGAUACAUGCAAAAUAUUCGAAAACAAUGUCCGAACAUAUAAUUUUUGUCCCGUAAUAUAGCAAAGAUCACGAAAAGGCCAGAAAAAAUACAUUUUGGUCAAAAUUUGGAGUAGAAAAAAACCCUUCCUCAUUCAUUGGACAGCUCUGUUUGAGCUUUCCGAAAAGGUAUCACAUGCCAAGUUUGGCCUCACGGUCUAAAAGUUAUAGAGUCAUACAUUUUUCACAAAAAAAAAGAAGAGAAAAACCAAAAAAAAGAGUGAUGAAACACGAGGACUUUCCUGGAGGUCACCCAUCCUAGUACUACUCUCGCCCAAGCACGCGUAACUACGAAGUUCUGAUGGGAUCUGGUGCAUUAGUGCUGGUAUGAUCGCAUCUGUUACUACAUGCAAUGCAAUCGUAUCUAUUCUUUUUUGAAGAUUUUAUGAUUCAUUUACCGUGGGUCCCACCAGCUAUGUAGGAAUAACCUAUCUUAUUUAUAAGAGCUUUGAUACAUGCAAAAUAUUGGAAAACAAUGUCCGAACAUAUAAUGUUCGCCCCAAAAUAUAGCAAAGACAACAAAAAUGCCAUAAAAAGUACAUUAAGGUCAAAAUUUGGAGUAGGAAAAAAAUCAAUAAGAGAAUUCCAUUUUCCUUCCCUCAUUCAUCGGAGAGCUCUCUUUGGGCAUUCCAAAAAGGUAUCACAUGCCAAGUUUGGCCUCACGGUCUAAAAGUUAUAGAGUAGUACAUUUUUAACAAAAAAAAAAGAGAGAAACCGAAAAAAAGAGGGAUGCAACACGAAGACUUUUCUGGAGGUCACCCAUCCUAGUACUACUCUCCCAAAGCACGCUUAACUGUGGUGUUCUGAUAGGAUCAAGUGCAUUAGUGCGGGUAUGAUCGCAUCAGUUACUACAUGCAAUGCAAUCAUAUAUAUUCUUUUUUGAAGACUUUAUGAUCCAUUUGCCGUAGGUCCCACCAGCUAUGUAGGAAUACCCUAUCUUGUUUAUAAGAGCUUUGAUACAUGCAAAAUAUUCGAAAACAAUGUCCGAACAUAUAAUUUUUGUCCCGUAAUAUAGCAAAGAUCACGAAAAGGCCAGGAAAAAUACAUUUCGGUCAAAAUUUGGAGUAGAAAAAAAACCCUUCCUCAUUCAUUGGACAGCUCUCUUUGGGCUUUCCGAAAAGGUAUCACAUGCCAAGUUUGGCCUCACGGUCUAAAAGUUAUAGAUUCAUACAUUUUUCACAAAAAAAAGAAGAGAAAAACCAAAAAAAAGAGGGAUGAAACACGAGGACUUUCCCAGAGGUCACCCAUCCUAGUACUACUCUCGCCCAAGCACGCUUAACUGCGAAGUUCUGAUGGGAUCUGGUGCAUUAGUGCUGGUAUGAUCGCAUCUGUUACUACAUGCAAUGCAAUCGUAUCUAUUCUUUUUUGAAGAUUUUAUGAUUCAUUUACCGUGGGUCCCACCAGCUAUGUAGGAAAACCUAUCUUAUUUAUAAGAUCUUUGAUACAUGCAAAAUAUUGGAAAACAAUGUCCGAACAUAUAAUGUUCGCCCCAAAAUAUAGCGAAGACCACAAAAAUGCCAUAAAAAGUACAUUAAGGUCAAAAUUUGGAGUAGGAAAAAAAUCAAUAGGAGAAUUCCAUUUUCCUUCCCUCAUUCAUCGGAGAGCUCUCUUUGGGCAUUCCAAAAAGGUAUCACAUGCCAAGUUUGGCCUCACGGUCUAAAAGUUAUAGAAUAUUACAUUUUUAACAAAAAAAAAGAGAAAAACCGAAAAAAAGAGGGAUGCAACACGAAGACUUUUCUGGAGGUCACCCAUCCUACUACUACUCUCGCCCAAGCACACUUAACUGCGGUGUUCUGAUAGGAUCAAGUGCAUUAGUGCUGGUAUGAUCGCAUCAGUUACUACAUGCAAUACAAUCAUAUAUAUUCUUUUUUGAAGACUUUAUGAUCCAUUUGCCGUAGGUCCCACCAGCUAUGUAGGAAUACCUUAUCUUGUUUAUAAGAGCUUUGAUACAUGCAAAAUAUUCGAAAACAAUGUCCGAACAUAUAAUUUUUGUCCCGUAAUAUAGCAAAGAUCACGAAAAGGCCAGAAAAAAUACAUUUCGGUCAAAAUUUGGAGUAGAAAAAAAACCCUUCCUCAUUCAUUGGACAGCUCUCUUUGGGCUUUCCGAAAAGGUAUCACAUGCCAAGUUUGGCUUCACGGUCUAAACCUUAUAGACUCAUACAUUUUUCACAAAAAAAAGAAGAGAAAAACAAAAAAAAAGAGUGAUUAAACACGAGGACUUUCCUGGAGGUCACCCAUCCUAGUACUACUCUCGCCCAAGCACUCUUAACUGCGAAGUUCUGAUGGGAUCUGGUGCAUUAGUGCUGGUAUGAACGCAUCUGUUACUACAUGCAAUGCAAUCGUAUGUAUUCUUUUUUGAAGAUUUUAUGAUUCAUUUACCGUGGGUCCCACCAGCUAUGUAGGAAUAACCUAUCUUAUUUAUAAAAGCUUUGAUACAUGCAAAAUAUUCGAAAACAAUGUCCGAACAUAUAAUGUUCGCCCCAAAAUAUAGCAAAGACCACAAAAAUGCCAUAAAAAGUACAUUAAGGUCAAAAUUUGGAGUAGGAAAAAAAUCAAUAGGAGAAUUCCAUUUUCCUUCCCUCAUUCAUCGGAGAGCUCUCUUUGGGCAUUCCAAAAAGGUAUCACAUGCCAAGUUUGGCCUCACGGUCUAAAAGUUAUAGAGUAUUACAUUUUUAACAAAAAAAAAAAGAGAAAAACCGAAAAAAAGAGGGAUGCAACACGAAGACUUUUCUGGAGGUCACCCAUCCUAGUACUACUCUCCCCCAAGCACGCUUAACUGUGGUGUUCUGAUAGGAUCAAGUGCAUUAGUGCUGGUAUGAUCGCAUCAGUUACUACAUGCAAUGCAAUCAUAUAUAUUCUUUUUUGAAGACUUUAUGAUCCAUUUGCCGUAGGUCCCACCAGCUAUGUAGGAAUACCCUAUCUUGUUUAUAAGAGCUUUGAUACAUGCAAAAUAUUCGAAAACAAUGUCCGAACAUAUAAUUUUUGUCCCGUAAUAUAGCAAAGAUCACGAAAAGGUCAGAAAAAAUAUAUUUCGGUCAAAAUUUGGAGUAGAAAAAAAGCCCUUCCUCAUUCAUUGGACAGCUCUCUUUGGGCUUUCCGAAAAGGUAUCACAUGCCAAGUUUGGCCUCACGGUCUAAACCUUAUAGACUCAUACAUUUUUCAUAAAAAAAAGAAGAGAAAAACAAAAAAAAAAAGAGUGAUUAAACACGAGGACUUUCCUGGAGGUCACCCAUCCUAGUACUACUCUCGCCCAAGCACGCUUAACUACGAAGUUCCGAUGGGAUCUGAUGCAUUAGUGCUGGUAUGAUCGCAUCUGUUACUACAUGCAAUGCAAUCGUAUCUAUUCUUUUUUGAAGAUUUUAUGAUUCAUUUACUGUGGGUCCCACCAGCUAUGUAGGAAUAACCUAUCUUAUUUAUAAAAGCUUUGAUACAUGCAAAAUAUUGGAAAACAAUGUCCGAACAUAUAAUGUUCGCCCCAAAAUAUAGCAAAGACCACAAAAAUGCCAUAAAAAGUACAUUAAGGUCAAAAUUUGGAGUAGGAAAAAAAUCAAUAGGAGAAUUCCAUUUUCCUUCCCUCAUUCAUCGGAGAGCUCUCUUUGGGCAUUCCAAAAAGGUAUCACAUGCCAAGUUUGGCCUCACGGUCUAAAAGUUAUAGAGUAAUACAUUUUUAACAAAAAAAAAAAAGAAAAAAACCGAAAACAAAGAGGGAUGCAACACGAAGACUUUCCUGGAGGUCACCCAUCCUAGUACUACUCUCACCCAAGCACACNUUAACUGUGGUGUUCUGAUAGGAUCAAGUGCAUUAGUGCUGGUAUGAUCGCAUCAGUUACUACAUGCAAUGCAAUCNNNNNNNNNNNNNNNNNNNNNNNNNNNNNNNNNNNNNNNNNNNNNNNNNNCUCCUCAGUCAUCUUUGAGCUCUCUUUGGGCUUUCCGAAAAGGUAUCACAUGCCCAGUUUGGCCUCACGGUCUAAAAGUUAUAAAGUCAUACAUUUUUAACAAAAAAAAAAGAGAAAAACCGAAAAAAAGAGGGAUGCAAUACGAGGACUUUCCACGAGGUCACCCAUCCUAGUACAACUCUCGCCAAAGCAUGCUUAACUGCGGAGUUUAGAUGGGAUCUGGUGCAUUAGUGCUGGUAUGAUCGCAUCUGUUACUACAUGCAAUGCAAUCGUAUCUAUUCUUAUUUAAAGACUUUAUCAUCCAUUUGCCAUGGGUCCCACCUGUAGGAAUACCCAAUCUUGUUUAUAAGAGCUUUGAUACAUGCAAAAUAUUCGAAAACAACGUCCGAACAUAUAAUUUUCGCCCCGUAAUAUAGCAAAGAUCACGAAAAGGCCCGAAAAAGUACAUUAAGGUCAAAAUUUGGAAUAGAAAAAAAAACCAAAAGAAGUAUUCCAUUGUCCUUUGUCAUUCAUCGAAGAGCUCUCUUUGGGCUUUCCGAAAAGGUAUCGCAAGCCAAGUUUGGCCUCACGGUUUAAAAGUUAUAAAGUCAUACAUUUUUAACAAAAAAAAAAAGAGAAAAAACCGAAAAAAAGAGGGAUGCAACACGAGGACUUUUCUGGAGGUCACCCAUCCUAGUACUACUCUCGCCCGAUCACCCUUAACUGCGUAGUUUUGAUGGGAUUCGAUGCAUUAGUGCUGGUAUGAUCGCAUCUGUUACUACAUGCAAUGUAAUCGUAUCUAUUCUUUUUUAAAGACUUUAUGAUCCAUUUGCCGUGGGUCCCACCAGCUAUGUAGGAAUACCCUAUCUUCUUUAUAAGAGCUUUGAUAUAUGCAAAAUAGUGGAAAACCAUGUCCGAACAUAUAAUUUUUCCCCUGUAAUAUAGCAAAGAUCAAGAAAAAGCCAAAAAAAGUAUAUUUAGGUCAAAAUUUGGAGUAGAAAAAAAAACAAUAGAAGAAUUCCAUUUUCCUUCCUCAGUCAUCGGAGAGCUCUCUUUCGGCUUUCCGAAAAGGUAUCAAAUGCCAAGUUUGGCCUCACGGUCUAAAAGUUAUAGAGUCAUACAUUUUUAACAAUACAAAGUAGAGAAAACCGGAAAAAAGAGGGAUGCAACAUGAGGACUUUCCGGGAGGUAAUCCAUCCUAGUACAACUCUUGCCCAAGCACCCUUAACUGCGGAGUUCUGAUGGAAUCCGGUGCAUUAGUGCUGGUAUGAUCGCAUCUGUUACUACAUGCAAUGUAAUCGUAUCUAUUUUUUUUUAAAGACUUUAUGAUCCAUUUGCCGUGGGUCCCACCAGCUAUGUAGGAAUACCCUAUCUUCUUUAUAAGAGCUUUGAUACAUGCAAAAUAUAUGAAAAAACGUUCGAACAUAUAAUUUUUCCCCCCGUAAUAUAGCAAAGAUCACGAAAAGGCCCGAAAAAGUACAUUUAGUUCAAAAUUUGGAGUAGAAAAACCCAAUAGAAGAAUUCCAUUUUCCUUCGUCAUUCAUCGGAGAGCUCUCUUUGGGCUUUCCGAAAAGGUAUCACAUGCCAAGUUUGGCCUCACGGUCUAAAAGUUAUAGAGUCAUACAUUUUUAACAAAACAAAAUUGAGAAAAACCGAAAAAAGAGGGAUGCAACACGAGGACUCUCCAGAAGGUAACCCAUCUUAGUACUACUUUCGCCCAAGCACCCUUAACUGCGGAGUUCUGAUAGGACCCGGUGCAUUAGUGCUGGUAUGAUCGCAUGUGUUACUACAUGCAAUGUAAUCGUAUAUAUUCAUUUUUAAAGACUUUAUGAUCCAUUUGCCGUGGGUCCUACCAGCUAUGUAGAAAUACCCUAUCUUCUUUAUAAGAGCUUUCAUUCACGCAAAAUAAUGGAAAACAAUGUCCGAAGAUAUAAUUCCCCCCCCCCCCCCCCCGUAAUAUAGCAAAGAUCACGAAAAGGCCCGAAAAAGUACAUUAAGUUCAAAAUUUGGAGUAGAAAAAAAAACAAUAGAAGAAUUCCAUUUUCCUUCCUCAGUCAUCGGAGAGCUCUCUUUGGGCUUUCCGAAAAGGUAUCACAUGCCAAGUUUGGCCUCACGGUCUAAAGGUUAUAGAGUCAUACAUUUUUAACAAAAAAAAAUAGAAAAACAGAAAAAAGAGGGAUGCAAUACGAGGACUUUCCAGGAGGUCACCCAUCCUAGUACAACUCUCGCCGAAGCACGCUUAACUACGGUGUUCAGAUGGAAUCUGGUGCAUUAGUGCUGGUAUGAUGUCAUUUGUUACUACAUGCAAUGCAAUCAUAUCUAUUCUUAUUUAAAGACUUUAUGAUCCAUUUGCCGUGGGUCCCACCUGUAGGAAUACCCUAUCUUGUUUAUAAAAGAUUUGAUACAUGCAAAAUACUCGAAAACAAUGUCCGAACAUAUAAUUUUCACCCCGUAAUAUAGCAAAGAUCACGAAAAGGCCCGAAAAAGUACAUUAAAGUCAAAAUUUGGAGUAGAAAAAAACCCAAUAGAAGUAUUCCAUUCUCCUUCGUCAUUCAUCGGAGAGCUCUCUUUAGGCUUUCCGAAAAGAUAUCACAUGCCAAGUUUGGCCUCACGGUUUAAAAGUUAUAGAGUCAUAGAUUUUUAACAAAACAAAAAGAGAAAAACCGAAAAAAAAUUGGGAUGCAACACGAGGACUUUCCUGGAGGUCACCCAUCCUAGUACUACUCUUGCCCAAGCACCCUUAACUGCGUAGUUCUGAUGGGAUCCGAUGCUUUAGGGCUGGUAUGAUCGCAUCUGUUACUACAUGCAAUGUAAUCGUAUCUAUUCUUUUUUAAAGACUUUAUGAUCCAUUUGCCGUGGGUCCCACCAGCUAUGUAGGAAUACCCUAUCUUCUUUAUAAGAGCUUUGAUAAAUGCAAAAUAUUGGAAAGCAAUGUCCGAACAUAUAAUUUCGCCCCCGUAAUAUAGCAAAGAUCACGAAAAAGCCCAAAAAAGUUCAUUUAGGUCAAAAUUUGAGCAGAAGAAAAAGAAAUAGAAGAAUUCCAUUUUCCUUCCUCAUUUAUUGGAGAGCUCUCUUUGGGCUUUCCGAAAAGGUAUCACAUGCCAAGUUUGGCCUCACGGUCUAAAAGUUAUAGAGUCAUACAGUUUUAACAAAAUGAAAUAGAGAAAAACCGAAAAAAAGAGGGAUGUAACACGAGGACUUUCCGGGAGGUAAUCUAUCCUACUACUACUCUCGGCCAAGCACCCUUAACUGCGGAGUUCUAAUGGGAUCCGGUGCAUUAGUGCUAGUAUGAUCGCAUGUGUUACUACAUGCAAUGUAAUCGUAUCUAUUCUUUUUUAAAGACUUUAUGAUCCAUUUGCCGUGGGUCCCACCAGCUAUGUAGGAAUACCCUAUCUUCUUUAUAAGAGCUUUGAUACAUGCAAAAUAUAUGAAAAAAACGUCCGAACAUAUAAUUUUCCCCCCGUAAUAUAGCAAAGAUCAUGAAAAGGCCCAAAAAAGUACAUUAAUGUCAAAAUUUGGCGUAGAAAAAAAACCAAUAGACAUAUUCCAUUGUCCUUCAUCAUUCAUUGAAGAGCUCUCUUUGGGCUUUCCGAAAAGGUAUCACAUGCCAAGUUUGGCCUCACGGUCUAAAAGUUAUAGAGUCAUACAUUUUUAACAAUACAAAAUAGAGAAAAACCGAAAAAAAGAGGGAUGCAACACGAGGACUUUCCGGGAGGUAAUCCAUCCUAGUACUACUCUCGCCCAAGCACCCUUAACUGCGGAGUUCUGAUGGGACCCGGUGCAUUAGUGCUGGUAUGAUCGCAUCUGUUACUAUAUGCAAUGUAAUCGUAUCUAUUCUUUUUUAAAGACUUUAUGAUCCAUUUGCCGUGGGUCCCACCAGCUAUGUAGGAAUACCCUAUCUUCUUUAUAAGAGCUUUGAUAUAUGCAAAAUAUUGGAACACCAUGUCCGAACAUAUAAUUUUUCCCGUGUAAUAUAGCAAAGAUCAAGAAAAAGACAAAAGAGUACAUUUAGGUCAAAAUUUGAGUAGAAAAAAACAAAUAGAAGAAUUCCAUUUUCCUUCCUCAUUCAGCUGAGAGCUCUCUUUGGGCUUUCCGAAAAGGUAUCAUAUGCCAAGUUUGGCCUCACAGUGUAAAAGUUAUAGAGUCUAACAUUUUUAACAAAACAAAAUAGAGAAAAACCAAAAAAAGAGGGAUGCAACACGAGGACUUUCUGGGAGGUCACCCAUCCUAGUACUACUCUCGCCCAAGCACCCUUAACUGCGGAGUUCUGAUGGGAUCCGGUGCAUUAGUGCAGGUAUGAUCG
Molecule: long non-coding RNA, 14363 nt
Filed under: Arabidopsis thaliana (thale cress)
Lineage: Eukaryota; Viridiplantae; Streptophyta; Magnoliopsida; Brassicales; Brassicaceae
Description: long non-coding RNA (ATHA_LNC000153)
Source: RNAcentral